Long non-coding RNA from Pollicipes pollicipes, 266 nucleotides. RefSeq lists it as uncharacterized. Lineage: Eukaryota; Metazoa; Arthropoda; Thecostraca; Pollicipedomorpha; Pollicipedidae. The transcript has 4 exons. The record is from RefSeq and is a predicted model, not a curated record.
GGGCGUAUGGAAUCGUAUUAGCGGUCGGAGCACCUCCGCCGUUGGUUCGCGUGAAUAAUGGAACUGCGCUGCAAUUGAGGAGGAUCCUCCACCGUCCUCAAAUUCGGAGACUCGGAUUGAGUCAUGGCGGCCUUAAUGUCCGACCCGUUCGGUCACGGAGCACCUGGAGGGAAGGUCUCCGCGCUCUUCUCCAAGGACACCAAGUCUAUGGAAGCGCUUCAUGGUAACAUGAUCGGAAUCCAGUGGAUGGGCGGCCCACUCUCGUC